RNAcentral lists this ribosomal RNA (253 nucleotides) under uncultured bacterium. Its description in RNAcentral is "partial 16S ribosomal RNA". It matches the Rfam family "Bacterial small subunit ribosomal RNA", at positions 524 to 776 of the family's 1533-position model. The record is from RNAcentral.
UACGUAGGGUCCGAGCGUUGUCCGGAAUUAUUGGGCGUAAAGAGCUCGUAGGCGGUUUGUCGCGUCUGCUGUGAAAUCCCGAGGCUCAACCUCGGGCCUGCAGUGGGUACGGGCAGACUGGAGUGCGGUAGGGGAGAAUGGAAUUCCUGGUGUAGCGGUGAAAUGCGCAGAUAUCAGGAGGAACACCGGUGGCGAAGGCGGAUCUCUGGGCCGUAACUGACGCUGAGACGCGAAAGCGUGGGGAGCGAACAGG